ACGGGAGGCAGCAGUGGGGAAUAUUGGGCAAUGGGCGAAAGCCUGACCCAGCGACGCCGCGUGAAGGAAGAAGGUCUUCGGAUUGUAAACUUCUUUUAUAUGGGACGAAACAAAUGACUGUACCUGUGAAGGAAGCUCCGGCUAACUACGUGCCAGCAGCCGCGGUAAUACGUAGGGAGCGAGCGUUAUCCGGAAUUACUGGGUGUAAAGGGAGUGUAGGCGGGACUGUAAGUCAGAUGUGAAAUAUGCCGGCUCAACCGGCAGACUGCAUUUGAAACUGCGGUUCUUGAGUGAAGUAGAGGUAAGCGGAAUUCCUAGUGUAGCGGUGAAAUGCGUAGAUAUUAGGAGGAACAUCAGUGGCGAAGGCGGCUUACUGGGCUUUAACUGACGCUGAGGCUCGAAAGCGUGGGGAGCAAACAGGAUUAGAUACCCUGGUA
This 437-nucleotide ribosomal RNA is filed under the name uncultured Ruminococcus sp. Its description in RNAcentral is "partial 16S ribosomal RNA". It matches the Rfam family "Bacterial small subunit ribosomal RNA", at positions 341 to 792 of the family's 1533-position model. The record is from RNAcentral. Lineage: Bacteria; Bacillati; Bacillota; Clostridia; Eubacteriales; Oscillospiraceae.